This 766-nucleotide ribosomal RNA is filed under the name Austrochloritis cunninghamiana. RNAcentral's name for it is "partial large subunit ribosomal RNA". Lineage: Eukaryota; Metazoa; Mollusca; Gastropoda; Stylommatophora; Camaenidae. The record is from RNAcentral.
UUAAUUAAAAUGCGUAGUAUUACUUAUCACGAAGUUGGAGGAGCUAAUUAUUACAUAUUUUAGAUGUAAAUAUGUUGCAAAAUUAAGUAAGUAAUAAUUAGGAGUGACAGGCUUACCAUAUUCAACGAUAACUUGAUGGUUUACAAAGGUAUUUAGUAUAUAAACACCCUUGAAGUGAUAAGGUUUUAAGGGUAUAACAAAUGUCUUUCUUUCUUGAAAUAUAUUGUUUAAUAAUUAAUAUAGUAAUAAUAUAAUAUUAAUUUAUUGUUAUUGUUUAUAUUAUAAACCUAUUCUUAAAUAAUAUUUAAAUAUAUAUAAUGUUAAUAUCAGUACUAGAGAGUUGUAUAUAAUGAACUCGGCAAGAAGUCUUUCAACUGUUUAUCAAAAACAUAGCUGUGUGAAAUAAUACACGGUGUUUUCUGCUCAAUGAAUUUUAAAUAGCCGCAGUACCCUGACUGUGCUAAGGUAGCGCAAUCAAUUGACUUUUAAAUGAAGUCCGGUAUGAAAGAAAUUAUGGGGGGCUACUUUAUCAUUUACAAUUAAAGAAUUUAUUUAUGAAGUGCAAAUUCUUCUAUAUAAAUAAUAGACGAGAAGACCCUAGAAAUUUUAAAGAAUAACCUUUUUGUUGGGGCAACAAAGUAGUAUAAAAAUCUACUCUAAUGACAAGAAAGAUGUAUUUUGUAAGAUUAAAUUACUCUAGGGAUAACAGCAUAAUUUAUAAUAGUUUGUGACCUCGAUGUUGGAUUAGGGAAUUUACAUUUAGAAG